AAAAAUAAACAAGAUUUGCACUUAAUGGAAUCUAAUGUCAGCUUUCAUAAGGUUGCAAGAAUGACGCAGCAUCAAAUGGAAUAAGACAGAAACCCCCAUCACAUUGAAGUACUUAGAUAAGGGGUUGCAAUGGACAAUAUACUUGCUGAGGAUGGGAGCACCCUGUUUGAUGGAAUCAUGGUGUAGAUAUGUGAUACGAUGAAAGACCAGAGAAGGACAAGGAAAAGACUCGCAUCUUUCCAUCUUCACAAAUAUCACAUCGUUAGUUUCUGACCAGGGUCUUUGCCUCCGGUACAGGAUUCCAUACAUGAUUGCAAAUGAAACCUGAACAAGGAAUUACUCUUUGAAAUCCUCUCAACUGAAAUGAUUUGUGCAGGAGUGUUUGGAUUAUGGCUAGAGAUAACGGACACUUUGGGAUGUCUGGGUCUUUUGUUCAGCGGAAGAUGGAGAGAGAAGAUGCCAGAAAGGAGAGGUUGUAGACACCAGGAAGGAGUGGACUUGGAGUGGGGCCGGGAGUCGAUGAAACCCAGGGAAAUCGAUGGAGGACCAGCGAAAAAGAAACGAAAUUGUCCUUUUAUGGUCUCCGAAAGCUUCCAUUUCAUAGCUUUACCCUGUCUGGACACUGCCCUGGCUGGUUGCAUCACGGUCUCGUACGAUCCCACACCACCUGUUUCAAGAACAGCCACUUCCCUUCAACCGAUCAGUUCUUCAACCAACUUCGGCAACUGUAAUGACUACCUCAGUAUUGUUACGAAUGUGCCACAACUCUGAGAGGCCGAAGAGUACAAAGUUGCCCCCUCCUUUUUGAGAAUCGCAAGAUCGCUAUUAUUUUGGGUCUGAGACCCAGGAAAUGAGAGAGAGACACGCAGAAUCCACAAGGGUUUGAAAUGUGUGUCCUGGCCUCAGCGAUACAAAGCCACGGAUAACAGCCAUUGUCUCCUGGAGACGGAAUUAUGUAUUGAGUACUGUACUAUUCAUUGAAGCCCUUAGGGAAUGACCAGAGUGGGCUGGUUGAGGGAUUGCAUCAUCCCAACCUGAUUGACAUCUGAGACCCCGUGAGUAAGGGUAAAAGAGGGUCUGGGGAACAAUCCCUUUAGACGCACCAGGAGAAACAUAUGAGACCAGUGGGGACUUGUGUGUGUCCAUCCUUGCCCAGAUGACAAGUCUUCCACGGAACGGCCUCGCUAAAGGACGAAUACGGAUCAAGAUCGGAUGAAAGGAAAAGCUGGCAAGUUUCAAAAUCUGUCUCUCUCUCCAACCAAAAAGCUGCAGCUUGAAUGAACUGAGUGACUUUUAUAUUUCCAUCGGACAAUACAUUAUCCCCUAGACAACGAUAGAGCUUAUUUCUUAGUGAUUAUUACUAUACCCGCACUUUAAGAUUUAGUAUUGAUGACGUAUAUUAUCUGUAUGUUUGCAUUGAUACUAUUUUUGUGUAUUUUUAUCAAUGAAUACUGUUAAAAAUAGUACCAUCAGACUUCAACGGACCUCUCUAUCUUUGCUGGUAAUUGACCCAGUUACGGGGUUCGUAACAGUAUGAACACUAUGACCACUUUGUAAGGAAUGAACAUCAUUUGCUUUUUGUUCUAAUUAUGUUCUUUCUUAUAAAAACAGUGUAUAAUUUAUGAUUAAAUUAUGUUUCUCUUCUGAAUGUUGUGUAUCUGAUGACAUGUGCC
This is a long non-coding RNA of Hypanus sabinus (Atlantic stingray), 1673 nucleotides long. RefSeq lists it as uncharacterized. Lineage: Eukaryota; Metazoa; Chordata; Chondrichthyes; Myliobatiformes; Dasyatidae. The record is from RefSeq and is a predicted model, not a curated record. The transcript has 5 exons.